RNAcentral lists this ribosomal RNA (425 nucleotides) under uncultured bacterium. Its description in RNAcentral is "partial 16S ribosomal RNA". It matches the Rfam family "Bacterial small subunit ribosomal RNA", at positions 354 to 796 of the family's 1533-position model. The record is from RNAcentral.
GUGGGGAAUAUUGGACAAUGGGCGCAAGCCUGAUCCAGCCAUGCCGCGUGAGUGAUGAAGGCCUUAGGGUUGUAAAGCUCUUUUGUCCGGGAAGAUAAUGACUGUACCGGAAGAAUAAGCCCCGGCUAACUUCGUGCCAGCAGCCGCGGUAAUACGAAGGGGGCUAGCGUUGUUCGGAAUCACUGGGCGUAAAGCGCACGUAGGCGGACCAUUAAGUCAGGGGUGACAGCCUGGAGCUCAACUCCAGAACUGCCUUUGAUACUGAUGGUCUCGAGUAUGGAAGAGGUUGGUGGAACUGCGAGUGUAGAGGUGAAAUUCGUAGAUAUUCGGAAGAACACCAGUGGCGAAGGCGACUCACUGGCCCAAUACUGACGCUGAGGCGCGAAAGCGUGGGGAGCAAACAGGAUUAGAAACCCUAGUAGUCC